UAGUGGGGAGGACCAGGCCACGGUGAAGGCAGGUCAUGCGCUCCUCACGCUCCACGAACGGAACCUGCGCACGGAGGCGGUAGCGCGGGGUGGCAGCCGGCAAUGAGGCGGCCGCGCUACGUGACGAGCUACGGGUCCCCCUUUGUGAUGUUUUGGCAUCGCUCCUUCAUCGCACAUCCUCAGGUACGUCAAUUCACUUCCUUCCCUUCCCUUCGUCCCUCGGUCCCACGCUCGUGGCGCUGAAGUGGUGGCAACAGGCGAUGGCGGUGGUGUCGCUGAUGGCGGCGAGGACAGCAUGUGGCAGCUCCCGAAGCAUGAACACGACCGCACCUCGGGCCUGCCGUCUGCCAAGAUAUGGCUCUGGCCGAUUGACAAUGGAGGUUUGGGAUCCUUCCUCUCAGCACCCACUCCUGGAAGAAUCAGCGGUGCGCCACGCCGAUUGAACCCCGUCGAGAUCACUCGCCAAGAUUGCUAUUCUGAAGUUUA
Molecule: long non-coding RNA, 486 nt
Organism: Triticum dicoccoides
Lineage: Eukaryota; Viridiplantae; Streptophyta; Magnoliopsida; Poales; Poaceae
Exons: 3
Source: RefSeq, a predicted model, not a curated record